Molecule: ribosomal RNA, 95 nt
Filed under: uncultured bacterium
Lineage: Bacteria
Description: partial 16S ribosomal RNA
Source: RNAcentral
CGCCGCGUGAAGGAUGAAGCUUUCGGGCGUAACUCUUUAUCGAGGAAGAAGAAUGUGACGGUACUCGAUGAAUAAGCCCCGGCUAACUACCGUGC